Long non-coding RNA from Bombus pascuorum, 357 nucleotides. RefSeq lists it as uncharacterized. NCBI's taxonomy places the organism in Eukaryota, Metazoa, Arthropoda, Insecta, Hymenoptera, Apidae. The record is from RefSeq and is a predicted model, not a curated record. The transcript is spliced from 2 exons.
GAUCACAGUAAUCAGAUUUUGUUUGUGUCUACUCUUUCGUCUCAUUGGACAAACUAUAGCAGAGUGGAAAUGAAAGUGCUCACGCUUAUGGUUCCCGGUCUAGUGCUGCACCAUGCGGACGAUACUGAAAGGUACAAUUGUAAAUAGCCUUUCUGCAGACAACAUUAUAUUAAGGGGCCAACACGCCGAGGAGGAUCAGGAUCUCCUUAAACUUGCACGACGGCCCAGGGGAUAGCGUUGAGAAUGGUGGUCCCCCCCAAUGCCCGAACUAACCAAGGAAUGACUCCCUCAGAUAGGAGAAGACGCAGGAGUGCUCCGGCAGUAAUUCGAAAGAGGUCCUGGAGAAUCCCAGCCCAG